AGAGUUUGAUCAUGGCUCAGGAUGAACGCUAGCGGCGGGCUUAAUACAUGCAAGUCGAGGGGCAGCAUAAUACUUCGGUAUUGAUGGCGACCGGCGAACGGGUGAGUAACGCGUAUGUAACCUACCUACUACAGAGGGAUAGCCCAUGGAAACGUGGAUUAAUACUUUAUAGUACAUUUAAACUUCAUGGUUAAAAUGUUAAAGAUUUAUCGGUAGUAGAUGGACAUGCGUCUGAUUAGGUAGUUGGUGAGGUAAAGGCUCACCAAGCCAUCGAUCAGUAGGGGGUUUGAGAGGAUUAUCCCCCACACUGGAACUGAGACACGGUCCAGACUCCUACGGGAGGCAGCAGUAGGGAAUAUUGGUCAAUGGAGGCAACUCUGAACCAGCCACGCCGCGUGUAGGAAGAAUGUCCUUAGGAUUGUAAACUACUUUUAUCAGGGAAGAAUGACGAGUAUGCGUACUCGGAGAGACGGUACCUGAAGAAUAAGCACCGGCUAACUACGUGCCAGCAGCCGCGGUAAUACGUAGGGUGCAAGCGUUAUCCGGAAUUACUGGGUUUAAAGGGUGUGUAGGCGGUUUUUUAAGUCUGUGGUGAAAGGUUACAGCUCAACUGUAAAAGUGCCAUGGAUACUGGAAGACUUGAGUAUUAUAAAGGAAGGUGGAAUUCGUGGUGUAGCGGUGAAAUGCAUAGAUACCACGAGGAAGGCCGAUUGCGAAGGCAGCUUUCUGGAUAAUAACUGACGCUAAAACACGAAAGCGUGGGGAGCGAACAGGAUUAGAUACCCUGGUAGUCCAC
RNAcentral lists this ribosomal RNA (796 nucleotides) under uncultured bacterium. RNAcentral's name for it is "bacterial SSU rRNA". It matches the Rfam family "Bacterial small subunit ribosomal RNA", at positions 8 to 798 of the family's 1533-position model. The record is from RNAcentral.